Molecule: non-coding RNA, 310 nt
Organism: Chlorocebus sabaeus (green monkey)
Lineage: Eukaryota; Metazoa; Chordata; Mammalia; Primates; Cercopithecidae
Source: RefSeq, a predicted model, not a curated record
CUGAGGAAGCUCUUCCCAGUGGCCUGUCUUGGGAAGAUGGUUCCACCCAUCUGCAGGCUGAUGUUUUCUUUGUGUGUUCUGCUUGCAGAGAAGCUUCAGAAAGAGCUUGACUGGAGACGGACUGAAGGCCAGGCUGAGUGGAGAGCAGCCCAAAAAUACGCAGGUAACUGAAGCCAGGAAACUGAUUUGUGUUUUGGGUUGGCUGGAUCUUAAACAGAAGGGAGGUGGGGAGAUCUGAGAUUAGAGGUCGGGGCUUUCUGGGAGCCAAGUAUGGGGCCGGCACACACAGACACACACGCACACUUGCAAA